RNAcentral lists this unclassified non-coding RNA (248 nucleotides) under Hevea brasiliensis (rubber tree). Lineage: Eukaryota; Viridiplantae; Streptophyta; Magnoliopsida; Malpighiales; Euphorbiaceae. The record is from RNAcentral.
AUUGUGUCGACACGCCCGAGUCAACUCACUGCCAAAUUGUCAGGUUGCAGAUGAGGAACUAUAUGAGUAUAAGAAGGAUAGUAUUGGGUCGGCAACAAAUUCAAAUUUUGGGGCGAGAUUGAAAUCUACUUUGGAGAAACACAGGGUGUUGCAGAGGUUUUUGCUUGUGUUGGCUUUGAUUGGGACAUGUAUGGUGAUCGGUGAUGGUGUUCUAACCCCUGCUAUUUCUGUAUUUUCUGCGGUUUCUG